ACACAUGCAAGUCGAACGAGAGAGAAGGAGCUUGCUUCUUCGAUCGAGUGGCGAACGGGUGAGUAACGCGUGAGGAACCUGCCUCAAAGAGGGGGACAACAGUUGGAAACGACUGCUAAUACCGCAUAAGCCCACGGGUCGGCAUCGACCUGAGGGAAAAGGAGCAAUCCGCUUUGAGAUGGCCUCGCGUCCGAUUAGCUAGUUGGUGAGGUAACGGCCCACCAAGGCGACGAUCGGUAGCCGGACUGAGAGGUUGAACGGCCACAUUGGGACUGAGACACGGCCCAGACUCCUACGGGAGGCAGCAGUGGGGAAUAUUGCACAAUGGGGGAAACCCUGAUGCAGCGACGCCGCGUGGAGGAAGAAGGUCUUCGGAUUGUAAACUCCUGUUGUUGAGGAAGAUAAUGACGGUACUCAACAAGGAAGUGACGGCUAACUACGUGCCAGCAGCCGCGGUAAAACGUAGGUCACAAGCGUUGUCCGGAAUUACUGGGUGUAAAGGGAGCGCAGGCGGGAAGACAAGUUGGAAGUGAAAUCUAUGGGCUUAACCCAUAAACUGCUUUCAAAACUGUUUUUCUUGAGUAGUGCAGAGGUAGGCGGAAUUCCCGGUGUAGCGGUGGAAUGCGUAGAUAUCGGGAGGAACACCAGUGGCGAAGGCGGCCUACUGGGCACCAACUGACGCUGAGGCUCGAAAGUGUGGGUAGCAAACAGGAUUAGAUACCCUGGUAGUCCACACCGUAAACGAUGAUUACUAGGUGUUGGAGGGUUGACCCUUCAGUGCCGCAGUUAACACAAUAAGUAAUCCA
Molecule: ribosomal RNA, 806 nt
Filed under: uncultured bacterium
Lineage: Bacteria
Description: bacterial SSU rRNA
Rfam family: Bacterial small subunit ribosomal RNA
Source: RNAcentral